This is a long non-coding RNA of Pogoniulus pusillus (Red-fronted tinkerbird), 3081 nucleotides long. RefSeq lists it as uncharacterized. Lineage: Eukaryota; Metazoa; Chordata; Aves; Piciformes; Lybiidae. The record is from RefSeq and is a predicted model, not a curated record. The transcript has 2 exons.
UCCUAAAGGGUAGCUCCCAGCCUAUCAAGCUGUGGGGUGAGAGGGAGGCUCUAUCACUUGUAUAAAUUUCUUUCCUUAGAAAGGAAGUGAAUCAAGAGGGGAAAAUGGAUGAAGCUUAGUGAUAAGUAAAUUCAGAAGGGUAAUGCUGAAGGCAAUAAAGGCCAGCCCUGUGGUUAAGUUAUGUGACCCCAGAGAGGACAGAGAUAAAUAUCACCUAUUGCCCAUUAAUCUGUCUUUGUGGAGCUGCUUCAUCACCAUUGUUAAGCAAAGAUGAACUCUUAGAAGCUGAGCAGGGCACAGUGCAUUGUGUACAAUGAGAGUUCGAGCCCACUAACAGGAUGCUUUCAGCAGACACCCAAAAUGCUGAACUGGAUUUGUCAGACAGCUUGAGCAAAAACAACAAGCCUGGCUUCUGCUGGCUGGUGCAGGUGCUGAGGAAAGUGAGCACGUCCAAACAUUUGUUUGUGUGCCUCCAACAGCUCCCCACCUUUCAGAGCCAGCAAAGAGAGAGAGAAAAGUGUGAAAUCUCACUUCAAGUCCACGGUUCCCUGCUGCUGCUUCUCCUCAGAACGCAAUCUGGAUCAGAGCGAUAAAGAGCAGGAUGUGAAGUCCCAGGAGCGCUGCAAUUAAACAGUGAAAAUGUCAAAAUGGGAGCAGCUGUGGCACCUGCACUCUCCUGCCUUGGUGAUGUCCAGCAUGGAGCUAAAGAUAAAAGAGCAAUUAUAGAGAGAGUUGGGCAAAAGUCAUAAAUUGAGAUUGUGCUGGGAGUGGUGAGAUAAAAGCAGGACAAGCACCUGGUUAUAUAAACGCAGUAGUUACUUGAAACAGAAUGCCUGGGAGUGUUUCAUUAAGAUGGGGCUUUUAUUCUAAAAGCAGGGACUGAUUUAAUAAGUAUUCCUCCUAAAGACUUCAAGUGUCCUCUGUCCAUGCAGCCUGCAUUCCAAGGUUAUCAGAAGCAGCAUUGCCAUGGGCUGAACUCAAUUUAGCACAUGCUUUUUGUCUGCUGAGUGGAUGUGAAAAGGAUUCAGCAACACAAAUCUGCCUGUGUUCUGAAUGGGAAAUGAACUUCUGUUAAAGAUCUUGCAAACCUCAACUACAGCUGCACGGCGCUGAUACAGUCAGGCAAGAGAAGAUGACCUAUUUGCGUCUGUCUGAACUUUGCAUUCCUCUUUUGAUCACGAGCAAUGAAACCUGCAGCAAUACACCAGCCGGCAGGAUGCAAGGAAGUCAGACUCUCUUUGUUUAAUUAUCUCUCUGUGCUCUUUAACUUCAGAUUUAAAGGUAAGAUCUUUCUCAGAGAGACUCUUUUAACAUCAAACCCCACUUUAUGCUCAGGAGAUGUUUAAUCAUUAUUAUGAUCAAGGAAAGUUCAAACGAGGCAGGCAGGAGGUUAGAAAGGCCAUGCCUUGUAAUGCAAAUCUCAUUGUUAGGAUCCACAGGCAUGGAUGUCAUUGCUCUAAAGAGGAAAAAAUACAAACCAGAUCCCAUCAUUAUCAGGAUAAAUGGCCCAGCACAGGAUCCUCAGUGGGACAGCUUGCACUGAGGCCUCAUCUGCUUGCCCCAGAUAUCUGUGCCCAGCAGUGUCUUUGACAGAAGACAAAACUGUUCCAUGGGCUUAUGUGCAGAUUGUUUGGGAAGCAGAGGUCUGAAGAGGAUGUUUACUGGGAUGCUGCAAUGUGAUCCCCAGAAAUCUAACAGCAUCUGAUGACAUUCUUGCUCUUGUUCGAGUCUCUCCCCCACUGAGAAGCUCUGAGACCCAUCAUAAACGACAUCAUUUCAACCAAGACAUCUCUACAGGAGAGACAGAAGCUUUUCUGUGGGCCCAGUGCACAAGAUAGACCCUAACGAGAACUCUGGAGAUUAAAAGGUGCUCUUAUCUUUGUAUCAUCUGACAUUGGCAAAGCAAAGACCAGGCUUGGAUACUGUCUGUUAAGAUAAUGCAAGUAAAAAAUGAGCUAUUGAAAUCUUUUUGUCAAUCACUCAAAUAUAUUUGUUACAUUUCCAAGCUUUUCCAUCACUGUUUCCCCUCUGCCCUCAUACAGGAACUCAGCAAACUGUGCCAGAAAUCACAAGGGAAGAGAUGGACUCAGCUCACCCAAAAAGGCAGCAAAAAGCUGUCUGUGGCUUUUAGCUCAUCUCACAGUUCUGGUUAUUAUUUACUUAAUUCAGUAAGGAGCUUAUUGACAUUACAGUCUCCUGUUCACCUCAGGCACACAUUCUAAUCAACUCUCGUUAUGGUCAAAUAGGUGGCUGGAGGCAAUUCUCCCCAGAAUUCAUUGUUUUCAGAUCAGUUUCUUUAUUAUCAGAGCUCCUGCAUCAGCACUUAGAGCAAUAUUGCUUCACAGCUAGGUUGUUGCAGAGCUGGUGUAUUGCUUCCUGAUCAAGUGUCACAAAUCCAGGAUUACCCCAGUGGGCCAGAAUGCCCAGGUAGGAAACCGAGAGCACAGCAGAGCUUGGUGAGCUUGAUUCUCCAAGCCCAGUGCCACUCUGGGAUCUGACCCUAGCACUGAGGCUAUUAUCAGGUAGUUUUCUCCAGCCUCUACCUCAAGCAAAUGUUCCUGUCCAUUUGCAUGCAGCAGCUAUGAGAUGUCUCAUGUGGAACAAGCCCCUAAGAGCACAAAGAACACACACACGAGAGUCCAGAAGGAGCAACGUUACACAAGCUGAGACUUGUGUGUGCUGCACAAACUGUGGCAAGAGCCAGCUCUUUUCCUUUCUCCCCAGAGAAAGUCUUUCCCCUGUGGGCUUUCUAGCUUGAUCUUUUAAUAGCUUUGCUCUGCCAAGUUCUAUAAAACAGAGUCCAGAUUCACUGCAGAGCAUGAAGGCAAAUUGUGUCCAUAAAUCAGCCAUCAGCUCAUAACUAUUUUUGUUAGCUGUGUGGAGAAUAUCAUGUAAUUACAAGGCAGUCACAUUCAUGAUCAUUAAAAGAGAGUUCUAUGUGAUAGCCAUAUUAUGUUGUGAUAAUCUGUUACACUUCUCAGCAUGCAAAGCCCAUCUCAGAGUUAGCAAGCCUGAAGAUAUUUUCUGUGAGGCAGGUACAGCUCAGUAUUUAGAUCAAUAAAAGGACUCUUAAAUUUGGUA